RNAcentral lists this long non-coding RNA (22862 nucleotides) under Lactuca sativa (garden lettuce). Its description in RNAcentral is "long non-coding RNA (LSAT_LNC006824)". The record is from RNAcentral. Lineage: Eukaryota; Viridiplantae; Streptophyta; Magnoliopsida; Asterales; Asteraceae.
UAUUCUAUAGUGUAUACAUUAAGGAAUCAUCAAGGUAGCACUAUGAUCCUAACCUUUAAUCGUACCCUUCUACCAAGGCAUCUUCUGAUCUGAGUUAAACCCGACUGUUCCUUUGUCAAAUGUAAAGUAUAUUCUCCCUGGUUUAUAACUAUCUUGACUAGAAAAUAGAUCAACUUUCAAGUGUUACCGACACUUUAUGAAAGUAAUGGGGGAAGUAAGUACACAAAUGUCGUUUAUAAUGACAUGCGGAUGCACUAUUAACCUAAAAACAUAUUUGUUUUAUUACGGUCAUAAUGUGAAAGCUAGAAUCUCUUACUAAACGCUCUCAAUGUAAAGAGAUUGAGGGAACCAAACGCGACCCCAGCAAAUCCAUACAAGCCGUGUAAUUCACAUUAAAGUUAUAUGAUCAUGUAUACCCAAUAUAACUAUCACUAAUGCGUUAAUGAUUCAUUGGUAUAAUUAGAUCCUGUCUGUGUGUUAUCAUGCUAUAGCAACCUAACUUGUUUUUUAUGUUUUGUUCUGGUAUUGUUUGAUUCUCUUCACUGUUUGUUCUGUUCUGAUAUUGUUUGAUUCUCUUCACUGUUUGUUCUGUUCUGAUAUUGACUCUUUGUGUGCUUCAUUAUACUAGAAGUAAUGAAUAGCAUUCUCCUAAACUAUACCUAUAAUAGUUUACUAAUGCUCUACUUGGACUGUUACUGAAAUGACUCAUUUCNNNNNNNNNNNNNNNNNNNNNNNNNNNNNNNNNNNNNNNNNNNNNNNNNNNNNNNNNNNNNNNNNNNNNNNNNNNNNNNNNNNNNNNNNNNNNNNNNNNNNNNNNNNNNNNNNNNNNNNNNNNNNNNNNNNNNNNNNNNNNNNNNNNNNNNNNNNNNNNNNNNNNNNNNNNNNNNNNNNNNNNNNNNNNNNNNNNNNNNNNNNNNNNNNNNNNNNNNNNNCUAUAUGAAAGGAAACACCUUCCGGGACUAGGAAACACCUUGACCAAGUGUUGGAAUCACAUGUGAUUCAACAUAGGAAGGUAUAAAGGCACUCACAUGAGUUUACUACCAUGAGUUCACGGCCCAAGGGAGUUUACGGCCGUAAACUCAUGGCUACUCAUUUGGGAAUGCAAGUUUGAAGGCUAGGGAAUGAUUUAGGGACAUUAGCUCUAGCCUAGGAUGAGAAAGACCACAUUCUUUGGAGUUUAAGAGGAGUUCAUGGGCCAAAUGAGUUUACCAUCGUAAACUCAUGGCCAUUUAUGCUUAUGAGGGUCCUAAAGGUCAUGAGAAAGCAUUCUAAAUUCAAGCCUAAGCCUUAGGAAGUGUUUGUGGCAUCAAAACACCUCUAUCUUGAGUUUACGGCCCAUGGACCAUUUGGUCAUAAGCUUGUGUCCGUAAACACCUAUGGGUGUUGGUAUUUUGGUUGCUUUGGGUCCUAGACACAUCAAGGUAAAGUGCUAUGCUUGUCUCUUGGCUUAUGGAAGGCAUUUAGGGCAUUUUGGCACCCUAAAAUGGAGUUCACGGCCCAAGAACUUCUUUGGCCAUGAACUCACUUCUAGUCUUUGUUUCUUAAUGAUUUUGUGGUCUAAACAUGUCAUGGUAGUUUCUAGGUUUAGUUCCAAGGCUUGGAGGGACAUUGGGCACACUUUGGCCCUCAAAAUUAGUGUUCACGGUCCAAGAAGAUCUUGGGCCGUGAACACCAUUUCCUUGGUGUUUUGGCUUGAUUUUCAUGUUAUUAAGGCAUAUAACACACUUAUAUACACUCUAGGUUGAAAUACUUACAGUUGGGGGUGAUCGGGCGAAGAUCCUUGAGAGAGAAAUCAGCUUUUCUCUAGCUGGAAAUGCAACUAAUGAAUAAAUAUGGUCAAGAACCAUAUAUAUACCCCUAGGGUUUUGGCAAAAAAAAAUUUAUUCAAGGAUUGAAUUCUAAUAUCAAUGAGCUUUGGAAAAACAGAGUUACACAAUACCCUUGUGGAACCUCUCUCCUGAAAUAUCCUUAAGUGUAAAUCCUGAAAUGCUCAAACUUAUCUCAAAAGUUUGAAAGUUAGCAGAACGGAUUUGACUUCACUUGUUGUGGAUGGUUUUACAGAAUGGAAACUCUUGGGUUGUCACAUCAUCACCCCGUUAGAAUGAAUUUCAUCCCGAAAUUAGCUCUCUUAACCUUACUACAAGGUUUGAGCUCUUCUGCUUUGUAAAAUACUCACUCGUAGACCUGGCAACUUUUCCAUGGUGUUCUUGAUAGGAUUCAUACUUGGUCCAUCUAUCUUUACUUCGUGUAUACAAGCCGUAUAUAGUUAGGAUUAGUAGGACUGUCGGAUGUGCGACUCUGCCCCAGGUCCACAACCCAACGGAGAAUAGGAGAUAGGGCGGAAACACACAUACUAGAUUUGCGUAAUCAUACUCAUAUACCACCCUCGCGUAUACACUAAAUAAUAAUAGGUGGGUUGUGUUCGUCCUAAGCCUCUGUGCUAGAACUUGGUCUGCUGGACGAGUGGUAUUUCGUGACGGUCUGCGGAUGUCUGACGAUAAGGCUUCGGAGGACAAAGUACUCUUCACACGAGUACUUCGGGGGUUUAGAAUUGCGAAAGAUAAAAUUUUUGAUUUAGGUUGGACUUUCCAUACGAAUGAUGAAAGUUUCGAGAACUUGCCGAUCGAGGCGAUAGAAACAUAUGACCUCAGUAUGGUGAGCACCAUGCCAACUCAUGAUGAAAUAAAACAACGAACUCUAUACCGAACAAAUUUUUGGUCAAAUGAAAGAAACAUCUGAUAAACGACGAUGUAUCCCUGGUAUGCUUGGUACUGUACUCCUAGUAUGUUCAACAAUGUACUCCUUGUACUGUUCUCGAGUUUUCCGGUUUUCUAUUUUGAAAUUAACACUCCUAUGUAUCGUACCGCUAUGUGCGCAUACAUGCAAAUAAAAGUGCUUUACUUACUGAAGGGAUGCUUUUAUAUCAUGAUCCCCCAUGGUACCACUACUAUCGCCCGUCAUAUACAAGUUGUGAAUACUUAAGAUGAGCCAGGCAGUCGACUGAGCAUCUCUGCCUCAAAUCCUCAAACAAUUAAGGAAAAGGGGACCUAAGCGGAGUCACUCACUCUAAGUCUACAACAUCUCAGUUGCGCACAACCCUGAUGUAUAUGGUGAGUCAUAAUAGCUUCUCUAAGGGAUCUUUUAGUUCUCUUGAAUAUUACGACCUAUUUCAACAUGUGAGUUGUUAUUGUUACUUUUAAGUGUCAUUCCCAAAUUUUAAUCUUAUAUGCAUAUAAAUUAAUUUUAAAAGUAAAUACUAUUUUGAGAAUGUACCACUACUUGUCGACGACUCCUGGGUAGAUUCUCCUGCGGUGAUCAUCAUAAUACGUCGAUCCGCGCUUGAGUUCUUGAUUAUUGGGCAGUCCCUCUGAUUGUGUCCAGUCUCACCACAGCCAUAGCAGGCUUGGUCUACUUCAGCUCCGAGGACUUGGGAGAUCGGUUGAGCCGGUGCCCUGCAGUAACGGACUGUGAGUCCUUUUCAGUGGCAGUUCAGACACUGCAUUUCCCGGCACACUCCUGUGUGGUGAAAGUUGCACUUUCCACACUUUGGAAGGUUUCCAGCAUAACGACUGGCAGAUGCUGAAGCAGUAGGCGUCGCAGCGGCGUACAUAGUACUCGCUUGUUGCUCUUGCGGGGUGUCUUGUGUUGUUCGCUUCUUCUUUUUCUUGUUCUCCGACUCUUGAUAUAGUCCUCUUCCCUUGAUGACCCGGGAAUAGGGACUUUUAUGCUGUGGCGGACUCCAUGAUCGAUGAGUCGUUGAGCCAAGCGUUUAUGUCACACCCUAAAAACCGAAGGCGGAAACAUUUCCGGCGCGGACUCCACGUUGAGUAUCAAAUCCAAUGUACAUAGUAAGCAAGUAAACAAACAUUACAUUACAUAUUAGAAUUUACAUAUGUUCAAAAGUAAAGUGUUACAAGUGAUGAUACAUAUGUAUAUAUAUAUAUAUAUAUAUAUAUAGAGAGAGAGAGAGAGAGAGAGAGACAAAAGAAGAGACAAAAGAAGAGACGAGUCUUCUGUACGCUCCGUCUUCUCCAAAAAGGAUCGUUGGGUACCUGUCUAAAAUGGACCUGAGAAUACAAGCAGUUUGAAAAUCAGCAUAAAGCUGGUGAGUUCACAAGUGGUUUUGUUUUGAAAAGAAUGAGUUCCUUUGUUUUCUGAAAAAGUUGUUAUCCAAGAAAAGCCUAUAUUUUCUUUUGUAAAAUAGUUAGUUAUCAUUUGUUACCAAUUCGAUUACAUGUUGUAUGUUACCCCAGGAAAAUCCCAUAUUUUCCUAAUAGUUUAGUUAUUGAACUCCAAUGUAAUAUUUGAUUAUCUAUUAUACUUGUCAUAUUAGCUAGGUAUUCAGAUAUCCUAAUUGUGUUACACUUGAAUGUACCUAGAUGUGUGCCUUCAUAUUCAUAUUCUUAUUCAUAUUCGUAUAUUAUAUUUGUAUUCAUAUUCUUAUUUAUAUUUGUGCUCCUAUACAUAUUCGUAUUCGUAUUCGUAUUUGCAUUAGUAUUCGUAUUCCUAGUCCUAUCCCUAAUCCUAUUCGUAUUCGUAUUCGUAUUCGCAUUCGUAUUCGCAUUCAUAUUCGCAUUCGUAUUCGUAUUCCUAUUCCUAUUCUUAUUCCUAUUCCUAAUCAUAUUCGUAUUCGUAUUCGCAUUCGUAUUCGUAUUCCUAUCCCUAUUCCUAUUCCUAUUCCUAAUCCUAUUUGUAUUCGUAUUCGUAUUCGCAUUUGUAUUCGCAUUCGUAUUCCUACUUUAGUAUUCCUAUUCGUUCUGUUCCUAGUUUAUACUUUCGUACUCGUUCUAUUCUUGGUUGUACUUUCGUAUUCGUUUUGUUCCUAGUUGUACUUUCGUAUUCGCUCUGUUCCUAGUUGUACUUUCGUAUUCGCUCUGUUCCUAUUUGUACUUUCGUAUUCGUUCUGUUCCUAGUUGUACUUUCGUAUUCGCUCUGUUCCUAGUUGUACUUUCGUAUUCGCUCUGUUCCUAGUUGUACUUUCGUAUUCGCUCUGUUCCUAGUUGUACUUUCGUAUUCGUUCUGUUCCUAGUUGUACUUUCGUAUUCGCUCUGUUCCUAGUUGUACUUUCAUAUUCGCUCUGUUCCUAGUUGUACUUUCGUAUUCGUAUUCGUAUUAGUUCUAAUUGAUGAUUAGUAUGAAUUAUUCGCAGAUUAUGAAAUAUAAUAUAGAUUGUAACACUUUAUCAAGAAAUCUAUGAUUAGUUUGAAAACUAUCUCUGCAAUUCGAACCAUUAGUUAACACGAUUUUUGAUAUGAAAAGUAUAAAUAGUGUAAAACAUUUGAACUGAAAAUAAUAAGUUUAAGUACAAGAUUUCCUUGGACUUUUGCUUGUAUUCCCCCCUAAAAACAUUUGAAAAACACGGAAAAAGGGUAGGGGUAUGAACUCACCGGUUGAGGAAUGCGUCGGUUUGGAUCCUAAACGUCAGUUCUGGGUUUGAAAACACACAAGAUUCCUAUGUAUUAUGAAAAGAUACACAUUUUUAUCUAAUUAGAACUUAAAUUAUUUAUUAGAUGAGAACAUAUGCUUCUAGAUGCGAAAACACUUCAUUGCAAGUGUUUGGAAGGACCCGGGUGGCAUUUGAGGACACAUAAGGCGUGGAUAUGGAGUUUACUCUUCAAGAGUAAACUCUUAGAGGAGUUUUUGGCCCUAAACAACAUAUUCACAUGAGUUCACGGCCGUGAACUCAUGGAUGGGAGUUUUAUGGUGCUAAAUGGCCUUGAAAUACUUAGGGAUUAAAUCUAGGUUUGAGUCUAAUGCAUUGGAAAGGGAUUUAACUCACAUAUGGACCAUUUAUUGGAGUUUAAGGUAGUAAACUUGGAGUUUACAGCCGUAAACUCCCCUCAAACUAAAUCCUUGAUGUUUUGGUGGUCCUUAAUUAAUCACAUGUGAUUUCAAGCUAUUUUACAAGUCUAGGGGUAAAAUUUGGGCACCAUUUGACAUAAUUCUAGGAGUUUACGGCCCAAGACUCCUUCUUAUGCCAUGAACUCCUUAGGGGGGUGAUUUUCUUAUGUUUUAGACUUCUAAGUUGUUUGUGGUUGAUUUUAGAAUUUAUUCAAAGGCUAUUGGUGUGUUUAAAUGGCAUUUUAACACUUCAAAAUGAGUUUACUCCCCAUGAUAUGGAGCUUACGGCCCAAGCAUGUUCUUGGGCAGUAAACUCAUGUUUACUCUCCAAAAAUUAAGUUCAAGGUGUUCUAAGUCCAUUUUGGUAAGUCCCUAAGUCAUAUCUAAGCUCCAAAGGUCGAUUGGAAGGGUUUUUGGGCUCCAAAACCCAUUUUAUAUGAGUUCACGGCCUAGGACUGUUCUAGGGCCGUAAACUCAUGAAUAUGGUCCUAUUUCAUGAUUUAAACUCGAAAAUGAAGGCUAAAGAUGAUAUACUAGGAGUUAGGGAAGAUACCUUGAUGAUUAGAAGCCUUAAUUUGAUGAUUUAGGACCCUUAGAGUUGAUUUGAGGAGAGAGGUUGGAGAGAGAGUAGUGAGAGAGAGGAAAGGCUUCAAAUGAAGUCUUUUGAGCUUUAAAUAGGUCCUAAAUUCGGGACAUGGUGAAAUUCUACCCGAUACAGACGUUAAACGGGGCUUUUGGUUGCACCCGAUUAAGUUAUUUUUAUAACUUGACGGAAUAAAACAAUUAUUUUUCAAAUAAAUAAAUUGAAGCAUUUCCAUGGAUUUUUAACGUAUUUGGACAAUUCUUAAGUCAUAAUUACAAAAUUAAAAUAAAUGACUUAAUUUAGAAACGAAUGGAAACAAUUUAAGACGAUGAAUUUUUAAUGACGUAUCAGGUUACGACGACGGAACGAACUUCGGGUUGUCACAUUAUCCCCCCGUUAGAGUGAAUUUCGUCUUGAAAUUCAAACUUUAGAUGUGACUCAAGGAUUUGGAAAGAGAUACGGAUAUUUCUACUUUGUUGGAUUUUUGCGCUCUCAAGUGAAUUCGAGUUCUAGUGUGGCUUUCCGGCGAAUCUUCACUGUUGGGAUAUGACUUUGUUUCGUACGCUAGUCUCUCGAUUUAGGAUUUCGAUUGGUUCUACCAUGGGGUUCAGACUUUCGUUGAUUUCUGUUGGAUUAGUGUCUAAGUCCAUAACUAUUUUGGUAUGUACUUGACCCGAUGGUGCAUGGUCCUUUUGGGUUGCCUUCACCAAAGCAACUUGAUAGGAUGAAUUAUGGAGAGAAAGGAUUAAAUAUGAUUUAUUAAUAUAUUAUGAGAAUAAUAUAUUAAAGGAGAAAUCAUAUUGUUUAAUUAAUAUUAGUCAAGAAUUAAUAAGAAUUAAGUUUGUGACUAAAAGAGAUUAAUUAAACUUAAUGGACUAGAAUUGUAAUUAUAAGAUAAUUGCAAUUGGGCUAUGGAUUGCCUUAUAUUAUAAGGUUGGACGAAUUCUAUGGGGAAACCCAUUAGAAAUCGUCCAAGGCCUUUAAGGAAAGGAGUCCAUGGGUUGCUUAGGGCUUAAGCAUCCAAAUUAGGGUUUCCUUGUUAGAUAACCCUAAUAGCCUCACUAUAUAAAGAGCCCUUAUGCCUCAAAAACGUGGACAAGCUUCCUUCUAGGGUUUCCACACGUUUUGGGCAGCCUCCUUCUCUUCUCUUCUUCAUCCUCUUGCUCUUGGUGUUUGUGAACCAUUAGAGGAGUGACAUUUGUGACUCUAAGCUUUCUAAAGUCAAUACAAGAAGGAUUUGAGAUUGUUAUUGCUACAUAACAAUCAAGGUAUGAUCUAAACCCUAAUUAUAUGUUAUAUUGAUUAUCAUAUGCUAGAUCUAGGGUUUAUAGUCUUGGAUAAAUUGCAUGUACAAUAGAGAAACCUAGAUCCAAGCAUUAGGGUUUGUAUGAGCACAUAGGAUGUUCUUAUGACCAAAACCCAUCAGUGGUAUCAGAGCCUAGAUUGGUUUCUAUUGUAUUGAUGCCUUGUAUGUUGAAAAAAUUCGAUUUUUGUGGUUCUGCUUGAUGGACUCGGCGAGUCCCACUGUGGACUCGGCGAGUUGCCCCUACUCGGCGAGUCCAUGGGGGUACUCGGCGAGUUCGAGCGUCAGAUGGAGCUAUUUUCGGGAUUUCUUGCUGUUUAUCUUUGAGAUACUUGCCUUUAUCAUAUUAGAUCAAUAUAAAUCCGAUUUUAUGAUAUAUAUGAGUAUAUUCUUGAUCUAAUUGAAGAUAUUUAUCAAUUAAUAAAAUAUUUGUUUCCUUAUGUGAUAAUUGAUUAAUUAUUUUGAUUAAAUUGGUAAAUUGUUUUGCAAGAAAUCAUUAAAUAAAUCAAAUAUGGAUAAUUAUGUGAUUAAAUGUUAAUUUAGAUUAUUUGUUAUUUGAUCCUUGUGUUAUGAAAAGUUUCAUAUUUUCCCCUUUAGGUUUUAUAGUUUAAAUUUGAACUCAAAAGUUUAGUUUUGAAAUUUAAAUAGUUGAAACCCUAAUGUUUUGAAAAGGUUUCAAAACUUGCCCUCAAGUUUUGGAAUUUAAAUUUUGAUUAAAAGUUUAAUUUUGAUGUAUAUUUAAAUUCUAAACCCUAAUGUUUUGAAAUGUUUCAAAACUUGCCCUCAAGUUUUGGAAUUUAAAAGUUGAUUAAAAGUUUAAUUAGGAAUGUUAAAUUCUAAAACCCUAGUAUUGUUUUGAAAAAGUUCAAAUCACACCCUUAUGGUUUUAUUAAUUAAUUAAGGUGUAUAAUUAAAAGAGGUUUAAUAAAUCCAUAAAAGUUUUGGUUUACAAUUUAAUUGAAUUAAAAGUAUAAUUGUUAAAUUUGACCACCUAGUAUUUUAAAAGUGUAAAAUACACCCUAUACUAUAUAUAACAUUAAAAGUCUAACAUUAUAUAUAUGUAUGAGUAAAAGUCAGUCUUACCGUUAGUAGGCCUCAUUCACGAAGCUAGUCUAUAAGGGGUGUUUAAGGAAAUUGCCUAUAAAAUGGCGAUUGAAUGGGUAUCCACUCUUACCCACCGCACUCUUGACUAGUGGAGGGUCGUUAGCCGAACGGGUAGGAUAGGACGAAACCUUCCAUUAUAAGUAUAAUGAAUUACUAAAGUAACUAAAUGUUUUCAUAAAAUUCCCAAUCUUAGUUACUUAGGCAAAAGUGAAUUGAUGCAAUUCCAUGAAAUUACACUUUGUGCCCUUGCGAAGACGUUAGUGGAGCGUGUGUGGUUUACCGGCACACUAAAUGGUUCUAAGCAAAGGUAGCAAAGGGUGACUCAAUGUUUGUCAUAGUUCGGUGGAGCGUGUGUGGUUUACCGGCACAUCGAAUAGGUGACUGUAACAUGUGAGGGCACCAUGUAAGUUUGCAUGGUUAUUCACACCCGCUUUGUGAUCCUCGGCAUCCCAGUCACAAACAAGAGGGGCAUAUCGAGAUUUAAACAUGCCAUUGAAAGUUCAAUGAAUCUCAAAGGAUCUAGGAGUUUUCAUAGAUUUAAAACUUAAAUUUCUUUUUCGUUUUUCAUGGUGGAAAUUAGUGAAUCGUCAUUCACUUACCUUCAAAUAUUCUGCAAUUAGGGUUACGGCAUCCCUCUCCCGAGUUGUAGAAUAUUGUGUUGGGUCCUAGCCUUAGUAUCUCAUUUGGGUGAUUUACUAAGGACUCAAUCAAUCAACUAACUUGAAUUCGUUUUCUCCCGUUUUGUAGAUGUCAAAGUUCGACAACUAUGGUCUUCCCAAAUCCCGUGGAACAAGCAUUCCACAUGAAGAUGAUAUUCCACGAUUCGAUCGAGGAACAAGAAAUCAUGCUUCACUUCCUCCUCCUCCUCCAAUUAUUCUCCCUAACCCACAAGUUCAAAGGCUUGAAAAGUUCAAGAUCACUCAAGCCCUUUUGGCAAGUAAACAUAAAGAAGGAAAGUCGGUGUGUGCACACGUCCUAGGGAUGAAGUCACACAUUGAUAGGUUAAGAAUGUUGGGAUCCGUUGUCUGUGAGGAAAUGGCUGUUGAUUGGGUUCUUCAGUCACUUCCUAACUCAUAUAGUGAGUUCGUAAGAGAGUACUAUAUGAUGAACCGCGACGUGACCCUUAUAGAUCUCACCUAUAUGCUUAUUGCUGCUGAAUCAGCAAUGGUUUGGCGCAAUAGAAAAGCAAAGUUGAUUGGUGAAUCUGCCUUCAAGACCUCUAUGGAUAUAGACAAUGGCAACGAAAGACAUGCUAUGAUCGAAAAGUUUGAUCAUAAGAGAAAGGCAAUGUCUGAAGUAGUUCCAUGUCAUGUUCCAAAAGAGUCAAUUUGCUUUUAUUGCCAAGAGAAAGGGCAUUGGAGACGAAGCUGCCCCAUUUACCUAAGAGAUCUAAGAGAUGGGAGAGUCGAAACGUAUGGCUCUAAUAUAGGUAAAAUCCAUUAACUAACUCUUUUAAGCUUCUAUUCUAGAUUCUUAAUACAUAAUGUGAUAAGAUUACAAUUGAUGUUUUGUAGGAUCGAAGAAAAGAAAGGAAGCUUAAGGGAAGAAGUGAGCAGAAUCUAACCGUGAAGGAAUGGAUUUCGAUCGCAUUUCUCGAAGAUUAGAUUCUUGAGCUACUACUUAGAGUUAGAAUUAGAUUGCUAAGAAAGAUGUAUUAGCAUAGUUUUUCAAUGAAUUGCAUUGUAAGGACAAAUUUUUUCCGCAAUAAAAUAAAUUUUGAUUUUAUAUUAUUUAUUUAUCCUUGCAAUGGCGUAUAUGAAAAAUUGAUGUUUGAAUGUUUCUAUUAUUAGCAAUAAUGGAUUUGGUUCUUAUUAUGUUAUUUAUGGAAAGUCGAGAGUUUACCAAAUAGGGAGAGUUUCUCAUCGCCCAAGUUUCAAUUGGACAGAAACUUGGAAUCAUGCAACUUGGUUGCACGAUGAAUGAGAAAUUUCAUAUUUGGAAAUUAGACUAAUUCAUUGACAAAGUGUCAAGUGAAGGACUAGGAGAUCGAGUACACAAAGUUGCGUGUUGAUCAAGUCCACCAUAAGAGUAACAAAGAUAUUCGUCAUGAUUUACUAAAGGUUUAGUAAAUAUGAUUAUACUUACAAGAUUAAGUGUAAUUCUGAAUUGAUUGAAAAAGUUUAAAUCAAUAGCAGAACGAAUAAGAAGAAUCAAGUAGGCAGAAAGAUAAAAGUUUCUCCAUUCUAAGAAGAAGGGAGAGUACCUUUUAUGCUUUAUGAUAGGUCUUAAUGAUUAAGAACCAUAUCUCAAUUGAUCCUCUAAGUGAGUCUUAGUACAAUUGUAUGUCUAAGAAGAGGAAUCAAGAAUUGAAGAAAUGGUUAAAUCAAGAAGUCAAUCAUACUUCGUUCCAAAACAAGUCUUAGAGUUAAGAUUGUGACAUUGAGUGAAAAGUAUUAAGAAGGUUUAUAACAUUCAUCAAAUGUGGAAAGUUGUGAUGUCUUGGAUAAGACAAAGACCAACUAGGACCAAUUUAUGAAGUGUUUUGAUAAAAACUACACUAACUCUUGAAUAUUUGUUUGUCAAGAAAUGUUUAUUGACAAGAGAAUCUUAUAUGUCAAGGAGUCAGUGGGAGUCUUAAUGGUCUUGAAAGGUUUCAAGAACAAAUCAAAAUAAACCUUAUCGAUCAUCACUAGCACACGAGUUGACGUUUACAACCUAUCGUGUUGACACUAUAUUGUUUCUAUGUCGUUCAAAUUGAGUUAAUAAUGCAUGUGAGCCCUAUGAGUUCUCAUUUGAAUGCAUAAAAGGCAAGGACCUUGAUCAAUGAAAAAUACAUUGAUAGGAAAAGGUGAGCUGCUUAACUACUUGGAAGACAUGGUGGGCAGCUGUGUUACCAUAAGGCAAGAAGUCAAGAUUAAGAAAGUUCGGUCCAUAUGAGUUUGAAUUUGUCGUAAACUUUGGUUUUGACAAAUUCACAUGGAUAGGAACACAUACACCAUUAAAAUCUAAGUGUCAUAAGAUUCCCUCCUUCAUGAAAAUGACUGUGAGGAAAUGCUUUCACUAAGAGAGAUUUUAAGAAGAUAGUGAUUGUGAAAAUUGUAUUCUCGAAUUCGAUUAUGGUUACGGUAUCCCUUUCCAUGAUUCGAAUUGUGAGAUUUGGCAAUUAGUUUGAAUUGUUUAGACACACAUAUGAGCUAUCUAAGGGAAAGGUGUAUAAGCUUAGAUAAAGGAUUAUCAAAGCAUUAGGUAUUAGAAACAUGAACUUAAGAAAUUCAAUAAGUAUUGUUUUUCUGGAAGUUAAGCUGGUUUCUGAAUACAUGUCAAAGCUAGUGGGAGCAUAAGUGUUAUGUUUAUAAUAAUCAUCAUGAUAGUGGGAGCAUAAAUGUUAUGAUUGUAUGAUUAUUAAGGCAAGUAUUGCAAGUUAGCAAUAUUAAUUAUAGAAAACAAGAGUUAUACUUUGCAAAGUCGCAAGAGUUGUAAAGUUGUUUUGCUAUAAUUAAGGGAGAGAAUAUUAUGCUUCAUUUCAAAUCUAAAGGCUUAGGUUGUGGAAUGUUAAUAAAUUUAGUCAAGGAUACAUAGUGUGUUCUCAAAUUUCGAUUAUGAUUAUGGCAUCCCUCUUCAUAGUUCGAAUUGUGAGAACGUGACACAUAAAAUAUUAUGGCAGAAGAUUGAUAAAGUAUCAUAUCUUUAUGUAAGACAUUAUGCAUCGUGUCCCAUACGCUUCGGGUAUAGGAUCGAUUGCAAAUGCUAUAAUAUUUGACCAUUCUAAAAUUUUCCAAAUGUCUAGCGCAUUUAGAGGGAAAAAGGACAAGAAUCGGUUUUGACUAAGAUAAUUAAACAACUAUCAAAGGACAAUCCAAAGUUCGCCGAGGAUUGGUCGCUUGUGAGUAGUUGGAAGUAUAGUAUUGGAUGGACCAUAUCGACAUUAUUAUGAAUAGAUAAGAUUCUAUUAAGAAUGAGUUGUCAUAUGGAAAAUAUGGAAAUGUUUCCAUAUUGGGAGUUGGAUAUUGAGAAUCUAUGUCUAGAUUAGAAACUUUUAUGCAAGAAGGAUGUUCAAAGGAAUGUACUUUGAGUGAGAGACAUCAUAUCUAUAGAAUUGUUUCUGAUAGAGAUUGGCCAAGUCUUGAUGAUUUUGAGCUAUGACUUUACGAAAGAAUCAUUGCAUAAAAUGUUAGAAUCUAGCAUAAGUAACAAGAAUUUGAUAUUCUUAUACUUAUGAUAAGGAUUGGGAGUUGUGAAAUGAGUAUGAUUGGAAAUGUGUUCAUUUGAUCUAUUUCACAAAGUAAGGACCAUAGGUAAACAUUGUGUGCAUGCUAAGAGCAUGGGACAAGUGUAGUAAUAAUUCAAGUAAGAAGUUGAUUACCCGAAACAACAAAUAAUGAGUAAUCGAUAUGGUGAUAAAAUAAAAUGUUUUAUUUAUACCCAGAGUUUGGGGCCAUAUGGGAUUAGUAUUAUUCUUGUGUUUCACUUUGCAUGUUUUGACUUCCUGAAUAAUUAAAUUGGUUCAGAACAAUCAAAUUAUUCGAACGGACCACAGUCGUUCAUAUGUUGGAAGUAGGUAUGAAUGAAGACUGUCGUGAAUUGGUGUGUGGAUUGUCUAAAGUGUAUUAGACAUAAGCAAAUGUUUGCUGCAACGUUCAUGAGUGCUUAUGAAUAUGAUUUGAGCAUUGGAUUAAACCCACGCUCACUUGGAUCACUUCAUGGAUUUUAUCACGAGUGAUUGGUGAGACGAUAAUAUCUUAUAUUCUUGAAACCGAGAUGUGUGAGUUGUAUCUUGCGAGUCGGUUACACAUUGAUAAUAUGUAAACGCACCAGUAACUUGGUGUCAUAAAACAUAUUGUUGUGUGUGAUUCGGUGAGUGAGUGCAAGCAAGCAUUGAAUCAAAGUUUAUCCGUUCCUUUUAUCCAAAGUAGGAUGAAAGCGAUAUCUUUGGGCCCCUCGAUGAUUUAGUGAUGACACCCUAAGCGCUUGGCCAAGUCGGGACUAAUUUGAUGUGUUCAAUUGUAGUCUGUUGUCAGUCGUCAUAAAUCGGAAAUCGGGAAACAACACAUAGACAGAGAGAAUGAUUUAAAUCCAUGUCUCAGUCUAUACGAUAUCUAGAAUGGAGGAAUAUAUGAUCCCUUAUCUAAAGGACACGCGUAUCUGAUAAGAUCAGAGUUGACAGCGGCUUUUGAAAGCUACGAUUGCAGAUCAGGAUCUGAAGUCAUACGCAGAAUAGUUAUUAGACUUAUCCAAGUGGGAGACUGUUGGAUUAGUGUCUAAGUCCAUAACUAUUUUGGUAUGUACUUGACCCGAUGGUGCAUGGUCCUUUUGGGUUGCCUUCACCAAAGCAACUUGAUAGGAUGAAUUAUGGAGAGAAAGGAUUAAAUAUGAUUUAUUAAUAUAUUAUGAGAAUAAUAUAUUAAAGGAGAAAUCAUAUUGUUUAAUUAAUAUUAGUCAAGAAUUAAUUGGUAAUUAGUUUUGUGACUAAAAGAGAUUAAUUAAACUUAAGGGACUGGAAUUGUAAUUAUAAGAUAAUUGCAAUUUGGGCCAUGGAUUGCCUUAUAUUAAGGAGUGGACGAAUUCUAUGGGGAAACCCAUAAGAAAUCGUCCAAGGCCUUAAGGAAAGGGAUCCAUGGGUUGCUUAGGGCUUAAGCAUCCAAAUUAGGGUUUCCUUGUUAGAUAACCCUAAUAGCCUCACUAUUUAAAGAGUCCUUAUGCCUCAAAAACGUGGACAAGCUUCCUUUUAGGGUUUCCACACGUUUUGGGCAGCCUCCUUCUCUUCUCUUCUUCAUCCUCUUGCUCUUGGUUUUUGUGAACCAUUAGAGGGGUGACAUUUGUGACUCUAAGCUUUCAAAAGUCAAUACAAGGAGGAAUUGAGAUUGUUAUUGCUACAUAACAAUCAAGGUAUGAUCUAAACCCUAAUUAUAUGUUAUAUUGAUUAUCAUAUGCUAGAUCUAGGGUUUAUAGUCUUGGAUAAAUUGCAUGUACAAUAGAGAGACCUAGAUCCAAGUAUUAGGGUUUGUAUGGGCACAUAGGAUGUUCUUAUGGCUAAAACCCAUCAAUUUCGGUCUUAUCGAAGGAAUUACUAGGGUUUCAUCGGGUAGAUACUCCUUAAGGACAGAGACGUGGGAUACCGGAUGGAUGCUGCUAUGUCCUGAGGGGAGUCGGAGUUUGUAGGCAACAGAAUCAAUCCUAAUGAGGAUUUCGAAAAGUUCUAUGUUCCUUGGGAUACGCGUUUCAGAAUGUAUCACAUCAUCUUUCUCAUUGUUGGCUACCUUGAUGGAGGACGUUUCAGAUACUAGUUGAGGACUAUGUUUAUGAAAAGGUUUGAAUGAAUAGGUAACAGUUUAUCUUUCAGGACUAGGAUUGAAAAAGGAUUGCAAGCAGAAGGGUUAUCGAAGAGGAAUAUACCUGUGGCAAUGGCUGAAACUAAGUUUAUUGUCGUAGAUUAUAAAAGUUUGACCAGGGGGAAGGUUGAGAUGGAUAGAUUUUUCGGAACAAAGGAAUUCAGCACGAUUGAGAUUCAAUCAAUCCAUGCCAAUGAAUGCUUCAAAGCUCUAUCUAUGAGAAGUAGCUGGCUCUCUGAAAUUUGUUGAACAGAGGAGAGUAUAGCGGCGGAGAUCUGUUUCCUUGGGCUAGGUCCUUUCUUUGGAGAUAUCUUGAUUUGAAAAGAUCAGGAAAAAGAGGAUGGUAAGUCCUCUGAAUUGAAUCAAGAGAUAUGAAACAAGGGAUAUCUCUUUAUGACAUUCUAUUAAGCGAUAAAGAAGGAAUGAAUUAUCAAAACAGAUAAAUUAUCGCUAAAGGAAUGAUUGAGGAACAACGUUGGGUUAAGGAUCUCUAUAACGGAUUUGGCUCGAGAAAUAAUCCCAUAGUAUUUCAUGGCUCGCUGCAACGACGACUCAUUAUUUGGGUAUUGGGUAAGUUUUAGGCAUGCCGUACACCACAGUUACUCCCAAGCACAUGUUGGCCGUGUCUCGAAUGAAUAUAGUUGGCCAGGCUAUAUUGAUCCUAGACACGACUACAUAACUGCCCAGGUUUAACCGCAACGUACAACACCCAUUUACUUAUGUUUUGUUCCACUUGUAGUUACGGAUUUCGAUGGUCGGGUAUACUUGUAUACUUUUGAAAAUACUUAUAUUUGAGGUAUACUUUUAGUUCAGAGCAUUUAGGCCCUUUAGUGUUUAUAGUUUUAUACCAUGUAAGGUUUGGUAUACUAGUUCACUGUAAACAAGGGCUCUGAUACCAAUCUGUCACACCCCGAAAACCGAAGGCGGAAACAUUUCCGGGGAGGACUCCACGUUGAGUAUCAAAUCCAAUGUACAUAGUAAGCAAGUAAACAACCAUUACAUUACAUAUUAGAAUUUACAUCUGUUCAAAAGUAAAGUGUUACAAGUGAUGAUACAUAUGUAUAUAUAUAUAUAUAUAUAGAGAGAGAGAGAGAGAGAGAAAAGAAGAGACGAGUCUUCUGUACACUUCGUCUUCUCCAAAAAGGAUCGUUGGGUACCUGUCUAAAAUGGACCUGAGAAUACAAGCAGUUUGAAAAUCAGCAUAAAGCUGGUUAGUUCAUAAGCGGUUUUGUUUUGAAAAAAAUGAGUUCCUUUGUUUUCUGAAAAAGUUGUUAUCCAAUAAAAGCCUAUAUUUUCUUAUGUAAAACAGUUUAGUUAUCAUUUGUUACCAAUUCGAUUACGUGUUGUAUGUUACCCCAGGAAAAUCCCAUAUUUUCCUAAUAGUUUAGUUAUUGAACUCCAAUGUAAUAUUUGAUUAUCUAUUAUACUUGUCAUAUUAGCUAGGUAUUCGGAUAUCUUAAUUGUGUUACACUUGAAUGUACCUAGAUGUGUGCCUUCAUAAUCAUAUUCAUAUUCGUAUUUUAUAUUUGUAUUCGUAUUCUUAUUUAUAUUUGUGCUCCUAUUCAUAUUCGUAUUCGUAUUUGUAUUUGUAUUUGCAUUAGUAUUCGUAUUCCUAGUCCUAUCCCUAAACCUAUUCAUAUUCGUAUUCGUAUUCGCAGUCGUAUUCGCAUUCGUAUUCGUAUUCCUAUUCCUAUUCCUAUUCCUAAUCCUAUUCGUAUUCGUAUUCGCAUUCGUAUCCGUAUUCGUAUUCCUAUUCCUAUUCCUAUUCCUAAUACUAUUCGUAUUCGUAUUUGUAUUCGCAUUUGUAUUCGCAUUCGUAUUCCUACUUUAGUAUUCCUAUUCGUUUUGUUCCUUGUUUAUACUUUCGUAUUCGUUCUAUUCUUGGUUGUACUUUUGUAUUCGCUCUGCUCCUAGUUGUACUUUCGUAUUUGCUCUGUUCCUAGUUGUACUUUCGUAUUCGCUCUGUUCCUAAUUGUACUUUCGUAUUCGCUCAGUUCCUAGUUGUACUUUCGUAUUCGUUCCUUUCCUAGUUGUACUUUCGUAUUCGUUCUGUUCCUAGUUGUACUUUCGUAUUCACUCUGUUCCUAGUUUUACUUUCGUAUUCGCUCUGUUCCUAGUUGUACUUUCGUAUUCGCUCUGUUCCUAGUUGUACUUUCGUAUUCGUUCUAUUCCUAGUUGUACUUCCGUAUUCGCUCUGUUCCUAGUUGUACUUUCGUAUUCGUAUUUGUAUUAGUUCUAAUUGAUGAUUAGUAUGAAUUAUUCGCAGAUUAUGAAAUAGAAUAUAGAUUGUAACACUUUAUCAAGAAAUCUAUGAUUAGUUUGAAAGCUAACUCUGCAAUUCGAACCAUUAGUUAACACGAUUUUUGAUAUGAAAAGUAUACAUAAUGCAAAACAUUUGAACUGAAAAUAAUAAGUUUAAUUACAAGAUUUCCUUGUACUUUUGCUUGUAUUCCCCCCUUGAAAACAUUUGAAAAACACGGAAAAAGGGUAGGGGUAUGAACUCACCGGUUGAGGAAUGCGUCGGUUUGGAUCCUAAACGUCAGUUCUGGGUUUGAAAACACACAAGAUUCCUAUGUAUUAUGAAAAGAUACACAUUUUUAUCUAAUUAGAACUUAAAUUAUUUAUUAGAUGAGAACAUAUGCUUCUAGAUGCGAAAACACUUCAUUGCAAGUGUUUGGAAGGACCCGGGUGGCAUUUGAGGACACAUAAGGCGUGGAUAUGGAGUUUACUCUUCAAGAGUAAACUCUUAGAGGAGUUUUUGGCCCUAAACAACAUAUUCACAUGAGUUCACGGCCGUGAACUCAUGGAUGGGAGUUUUAUGGUGCUAAAUGGCCUUGAAAUACUUAGGGAUUAAAUCUAGGUUUGAGUCUAAUGCAUUGGAAAGGGAUUUAACUCACAUAUGGACCAUUUAUUGGAGUUUACGGUAGUAAACUUGGAGUUUACAGCCGUAAACUCCCCUCAAACUAAAUCCUUGAUGUUUUGGUGGUCCUUAAUUAAUCACAUGUGAUUUCAAGCUAUUUUACAAGUCUAGGGGUAAAAUUUGGGCACCAUUUGACAUAAUUCUAGGAGUUUACGGCCCAAGACUCCUUCUUAUGCCAUGAACUCCUUAGGGGGGUGAUUUCCUUAUGUUUUAGACUUCUAAGUUGUUUGUGGUUGAUUUUAGAAUUUAUUCAAAGGCUAUUGGUGUGUUUAAAUGGCAUUUUAACACUUCAAAAUGAGUUUACUCCCCAUGAUAUGGAGCUUACGGCCCAAGCAUGUUCUUGGGCAGUAAACUCAUGUUUACUCUCCAAAAAUUAAGUUCAAGGUGUUCUAAGUCCAUUUUGGUAAGUCCCUAAGUCAUAUCUAAGCUCCAAAGGUCGAUUGGAAGGGUUUUUGGGCUCCAAAACCCAUUUUAUAUGAGUUCACGGCCUAGGACUGUUCUAGGGCCGUAAACUCAUGAAUAUGGUCCUAUUUCAUGAUUUAAACUCGAAAAUGAAGGCUAAAGAUGAUAUACUAGGAGUUAGGGAAGAUACCUUGAUGAUUAGAAGCCUUAAUUUGAUGAUUUAGGACCCUUAGAGUUGAUUUGAGGAGAGAGGUUGGAGAGAGAGUAGUGAGAGAGAGGAAAGGCUUCAAAUGAAGUCUUUUGAGCUUUAAAUAGGUCCUAAAUUCGGGACAUGGUGGAAUUCUACCCGAUACCGACUUUAAACGGGGCUUUUGGUCGCACCCGAUUAAGUUAUUUUUAUAACUUGACGGAAUAAAACAAUUAUUUUUCAAAUAAAUAAAUUGAAGCGUUUCCAUGUAUUUUUAACGUAUUUGGACAAUUAUUAAGUCAUAAUUACAAACUUAAAAUAAAUGACUUAAUUUAGAAAUGAACGGAAACAAUUUAAGACGACGAAUUUUUAAUGACGUAUCGGGUUACGACGACAGAACGAACUUCGGGUUGUCACAGUUUAGCAUUAUCGAACGUGGCUGGGUUAGAAGACAACACAUUUCCUUGGGUCGGAGUAGUUAGACCCCAAAUGUAUCUUUCUAUCUUCUUGCUCUCCAAGGUAAUCAUCUCGGGGCAUAGAGCUGCUAGUUCGCUGAACCGAUCGGUGUAUGUGACUAUGUCUGAGUCGACCAUAGUGAGAUCCCACAGCUCUUGUUCCAGUUUUUGAAUCUCGCCUAACGGGCAAUAUUCUUCCCGCUUUAACUCUUUCAGGUUUUCCCAAUCUAUUGAGUUUGCCACUGAUAGGGUCAGUGACUUAACAUGGCUAUUCCACCAUGUUAGGGCCUUGCCAUCGAAGGUGCAGGCAGCAAACUUCACUAUUCUUCCUUGUGGGCAUAAACAGAUUUCGAAAACCGACUAGGUUUUCUCGAACCAUUGUAGGAAGGCAAUGACUCCUUCAUUCCCUUUAAAGGACAGUGGUUGGCAUCUGGUGAAGUCCGUGUAGGAGAACUCUCCCUGGCGCAUAGGGACCUCACCUUGAGUAGAAUCAGUAGGCGUUUCCCCUCCACCUGCCCUGAUCGGGAUGAUAUUGUGCCAUGACUGUUGCCACAGCCGCGGCCACUGCAGCGUUCAGAGUUGAUGCAUCGAUUUGUGGAGAAGGUAUUGGAGUUAUCGGAGUAGCGUGUCUGGGUGAUCUGCGAGGAGGCAUCUUUGCUAAAAGAAAACAAAGAUGAGACGGAAUAAGUCUAUAGUAACGGACACAAGCCGAAAGCUGAAAAGACAAGGUUAUCCUAGUUCUGGAUGUAUCGGGUCCUGACUUCCACAGGGUUCUAGGAACAAUUCAUAAAUGAGUCUAUACCAAAUAAACUCUAUGAAUUUGAAAUAACUAUCAUCGAAUGAAUAUCUGUUUCCUGAAUAACUGUUACCAGCUGCAUGUAAGAAAAUAAUUCUAACACAUGUAAUGUGAGCAGUGUUUCCACUCGCUCGAUAAAUUAACCUAAUUAAUAUUUAUUAGUGUGACGCGUAAGACGUUUUGGUUACUUCGGCUGAUCUUUCCUUGAAAUCUUCUUAUGAAUUUGUCCUUGUUCCUCCUGAACUCUUUUGUUGUCUACUAUGAGGAAGUGGUUACGUUUAUCUGGGCUUGUCGUGCGAGAAUGAAAGUGACUAAAGAACCUCUGAGCUUUAAAGUAAUUUUAUGGGGUGAUCCUUACGAAAUCCUCCUACAAUUGUACAAGGUACACCAGUUUGUAUUGUAUAUAAUUGAAUAUCAAAUAGACCUUCGAAUAAUUGAUCCCACCUCAACACUACUUCCUUAAGAGGAAUGGAUAGCGAAGCGUCGGUCAUAGAUUCUAUGUCUAUAAGAUCUUGAUUAUAUAUAAAACUUUAUGAAUAUACCCUGUAAGAUUAUAGACCUAUCCGCAAGGGUCUUUUAAGUUAUCACAUAAGUUAUGUAUCUGGACUAAAAUACUCCUAUAGUAUCCUAACGUAAUGUACUUGUUAUGUUCUAAACUUGUUAUCGCGUUAUCGUAUCAUAGAAUACUCCCAUAGUACUCUAACACUAACUGUACUUGUUCUAGUGUUCUCUUGACUGCUGUUCUGGUAAGUUUUAACCCUGUUGUAACACCACAUCAUUCCCAAACACAUGUUGGUCACAUCUCGAAUGAAUAUAGUUGAUCAGGCUAUAUUGAUCCUAGCUAUGAUUACAUAACUGUUCGGGUUGACGACAGUGCCCAACCUUUAAAUACUUUUAGUUUUGUUCUCCUCAUGAUCCUAGUCCUAUUAUGUACAUGUAUGAGCAAGUAGGUAUAUUUUUAUAACUUGUAGCUAUACUCUAAAAUAUAUCAUUAUCCAGAGCACUUAAGCCCCAUUGUAUUUAUAGACGUAUAUCUUUUAUCGGUUGAUAUACUUAGUUCACUAUAAACAAUGCUCUGAUACCAAUCUGUCACACCCCAAAACCAGAACGGCGGAAACGUUCGGGGGUGGAGGACGUCAUGUCUAGUAUCACGAGAUAUGUAUAUGGUAAGCAAGUAAUGAACAACCAUUUCAUUUAGAAAGAAAGUGUUUACAAUGUAUGUGUUCACAAAACAUAGAAGUCAUAAACAAAUAACAAAACAAGACUUGAAGCUAUAAUGCUCCAUCUUCUGAAGUCCCAGCACGAGCACCUGUCUAAUAGUCUCCUGAGAAUACAAGUUAUUUGAAAGAGUUGAUCAGCAAUUAAGCUGGUGAGUUCAUAAGAUUUUACUGAUGUGGGUAAGCUGUAAAGAUGUGUUUGAAAAUGUAUAAGCACAAGUGAUGUAAGCUGUAAGUUCUGUUUUGAAAUGAUCGCCUGAUCCUCUACAAAAUCCUAUAUUUCCUACUUCAAUGGAAGUUAAGUAAAAUGACACUACAAGCCUUUCUAUGCAUACUAAGUGGGUACAAGUUAUAUAUACUUAGAGUAAAUAAACAAUCGAUUGUGCGCAUCUGCCCUAAACUCACAACCCAACGGGGAACAACAAGUAAGGCGGAUAGCACACAUUCCAUUGGUUGUUAGAUCGUUGUCAUAUAUAACCUUGGUGUAUUCACUUGUUACUCAUGGAGUUAUUUGUAAUGGUUCCUUUAUAUCUAAUGGAGAGUUCNNNNNNNNNNNNNNNNNNNNNNNNNNNNNNNNNNNNNNNNNNNNNNNNNNNNNNNNNNNNNNNNNNNNNNNNNNNNNNNNNNNNNNNNNNNNNNNNNNNNNNNNNNNNNNNNNNNNNNNNNNNNNNNNNNNNNNNNNNNNNNNNNNNNNNNNNNNNNNNNNNNNNNNNNNNNNNNNNNNNNNNNNNNNNNNNNNNNNNNNNNNNNNNNNNNNNNNNNNNNNNNNNNNNNNNNNNNNNNNNNNNNNNNNNNNNNNNNNNNNNNNNNNNNNNNNNNNNNNNNNNNNNNNNNNNNNNNNNNNNNNNNNNNNNNNNNNNNNNNNNNNNNNNNNNNNNNNNNNNNNNNNNNNNNNNNNNNNNNNNNNNNNNNNNNNNNNNNNNNNNNNNNNNNNNNNNNNNNNNNNNNNNNNNNNNNNNNNNNNNNNNNNNNNNNNNNNNNNNNNNNNNNNNNNNNNNNNNNNNNNNNNNNNNNNNNNNNNNNNNNNNNNNNNNNNNNNNNNNNNNNNNNNNNNNNNNNNNNNNNNNNNNNNNNNNNNNNNNNNNNNNNNNNNNNNNNNNNNNNNNNNNNNNNNNNNNNNNNNNNNNNNNNNNNNNNNNNNNNNNNNNNNNNNNNNNNNNNNNNNNNNNNNNNNNNNNNNNNNNNNNNNNNNNNNNNNNNNNNNNNNNNNNNNNNNNNNNNNNNNNNNNNNNNNNNNNNNNNNNNNNNNNNNNNNNNNNNNNNNNNNNNNNNNNNNNNNNNNNNNNNNNNNNNNNNNNNNNNNNNNNNNNNNNNNNNNNNNNNNNNNNNNNNNNNNNNNNNNNNAUAUAUAUAUAUAUAUAUUCGGGUAGAUAAUAGAUUGGGGGAACUCGGUUCAAGACCACAUCAAACGAGAACAGGAAAUGAAGCGAAGGCGUGUAAGUAUUCUAUAGUGUAUACAUUAAAGCUAGCACUAUAAUCCUAACCUUUAAUCGUAGCCUUCUACCAAGGCAUCUUCUGAUCUGAGUUAAACCUGACUGUUCCUUUGUCAAAUGUAAAGUAUAUUCUCCCUGGUUUAUAACUAUCUUGACUAGAAAAUAGAUCAACUUUCAAGUGUUACCGACACUUUACGAAAGUAAUGGGGGAAGUAAGUACACAGAUGUCGUUUAUAAUGACAUGCGGAUGCACUAUUAACCUAAAAACAUAUUUGUUUUAUUACGGUCAUAAUGUGAAAGCUAGAAUCUCUUACUAAACGCUCUUAAUGUAAAGAGAUUGAGGGAACCAAAC